Salvia miltiorrhiza (redroot sage) is the source of this 1741-nucleotide long non-coding RNA. RefSeq lists it as uncharacterized. Lineage: Eukaryota; Viridiplantae; Streptophyta; Magnoliopsida; Lamiales; Lamiaceae. The transcript is spliced from 6 exons. The record is from RefSeq and is a predicted model, not a curated record.
AUUUCAUAUUGAAGAAUUCAUAGCCUCCCUUCCCCCAUUUAUCCGUUCCCCCAUUUCAUAUUGAAGAAUUCGUAGCCUCCCUUCUCCCAUUUAUCCGUUCAUAGCCCCCCCCAUAAAAGAAAUCACAAUUCAUCAAAGAUUUAAUCAAAUCAUCUGUCCCUUUUUUCUCAACAUUUGUGCCAUUGCUCUGUUUCUUCAUCAAAGAAGAAGUGAGAUUCUUGGGCACACCCUUUUCCACAAUUCCCUUUUAACCAUUUGCAGAGAUGUUCUUGGCUCCAGAGGCAGAUUCCGACGAUGAAUUCGCCGUCGUGUUAGCUGGUUCGGAAGGUUUUGUGGCCGAAAUUGUGGUCUGAUUCGGCUUCAAGACUUCAACUUUAUCUUGAAUUUGAGUCUGAUUUUGCUUCGAUACUUGUCGCCACAAGUCACCAACCGUUGGGAAACCUCCUGGGCUGUUCAGAACUCGAGAAUUAGGUGCUCCGUCACUUCCAAUGAAGUUGAAGCGCCGGCGACGGUGAAGUUAGGGGAAAUGAAGAAGAACGCUGAGUGCUAUGGGGUUUUCUGUCUCACUUAUGAUCUCAAAGCUGAAAAGGAGACGAAGUCACGGAAGAAGUUGGUUAACAUUGCUUUCUCUGGUGUUGCGGGGAUGAUAUCCAAUCAUCUUCUCUUCAAACUUGCUUCUGGUGAGGUUCUUGGACCUGAUCAGCCAAUUGCAUUGAAUUAUUAGGAUCCGAUCGAUCACUGCAAGCGCUUGAAGGUUAUGAGAAAUGGGAGGCAGUUUGAGGCAACAAUACUUGAGCAAGAUAGUAAGCUUGAGUGAUUUCCAUUCCUUCUUUCAUCCAAUCAGUAUCAUCCCUACUACUUAAAAGCCCUCGAGGCAGCUCAGGAGUCAAAAGUAAAUGGCAAGAGUCUCUAUCCCGGACAGGAGGAUCUAGGUGGACGUGGGAUUAGCAGAAAAGCUUCUAUGCUCAAAGAAAACGAAAAUUCACACUCCACUUCUGAUCUUUGUGAUGUGCCAUUUGAAUCUGAUAGGAAAGAGAAGUUAAAGAUGGUAAUUGGCAAAUCAAAGAAAGAUGCACAAGAGACAGAGAAGAAUCCCAAGAAUGUGGAUUUACUGUAGAUGCAGCUGCAACAGCUGCUAUCCUUAAGACUGCCACAAAAGGAAUUAAGAGCUCUGGUUUGCGAUACAUCACUAACACUGCCUCAAAUUCGCAUACUAAUGCUAUUAGAAAUGAGGAGGGGCAGCCUGCAAGUUCAGGCAGUCUUCAGCCCUUGCUACCAUUUAGUACCGGUGAAAAGUCUGAUAAAAGUGGAAGUUGCAAUAUCUCUGCAAUGUUGCCAAAGACAAUUGCUGGAACAGCUUCUCAUGAAGUUGCAGGAGGGGAUGAUUCUUCUAAUGCAAAUCUGACAGAAGUGCAGAAGCUGAAAGCCGAGAGGCUCAAAAGGGCUAAAAUGUUUGUGGCUAUGUUGAAAAGUGGGGCAUUCCCAUCUAGAACAGAAGCAUCAAGAGGAUCAUCAGCAGAACCUGUAGAACCUGGAGUGUUGAAACCUGCUGCUAGGCUCGUUGUGCUAGCCAAGAAAGAGAGGGCAGCUUCACUGAGGCAAAGUGAGCGACAAUCAAAAAGAAAGUAUGGCUCGAAAUCUAUUGCAACAUUUUAAACAAUGUAAUAAAAGCUUCUAAGCAUGCAGUGUGUUCCACUCAGAUAAAAUUUUAUAUGAGAUAUGUGAAUGCGUGGUUAAUGCA